UACCUAAACAAUUCUGAAAAAUUACGACUGCCUGGGAAAAAGGCAUAUCAACCAGCAGCAAAAAGAAUCAACUCAAAAGCUCUUUCUGAAUAAAAUGAAAAAUCAUCUCGUGGGCGAAAAGUUUCUAUCUUUUUCCUGCAGGAUUAAACAACCAUCACCAAGACUAAUCAUAAAGGUUUUGCUUGGAUCAAACACAAAAAGAAACACAAAAAACAC
This 216-nucleotide long non-coding RNA is filed under the name Hordeum vulgare. RNAcentral's name for it is "long non-coding RNA (HVUL_LNC012177)". Lineage: Eukaryota; Viridiplantae; Streptophyta; Magnoliopsida; Poales; Poaceae. The record is from RNAcentral.